UGCAAGUCGAGGGGUAGCAGCGGUAGCAAUACUGGCUGACGACCGGCAAACGGGUGCGGAACACGUACGCAAUCUGCCUCUGCCUGGGGUAUAGCCCACUGAAAAGUGGAUUAAUCCCCCAUAGAAUAUUUAAGUGGCAUCACUUUGAAUAUUAAAACUCCGGUGGACAGAGAUGAGCGUGCGUCCUAUUAGGUAGUUGGUAGGGUAACGGCCUACCAAGCCGACGAUAGGUAGCUGAUGUGAGAGCAUGAUCAGCCACACGGGCACUGAGACACGGGCCCGACUCCUACGGGAGGCAGCAGUGAGGAAUAUUGGUCAAUGGACGCAAGUCUGAACCAGCCAUGCCGCGUGAGUGAAGAAGGCCUUCGGGUUGUAAAGCUCUUUUGUCAGGGAAGAAAAGGGUCUGGCUAAUAUCUAGGCCUCAUGACGGUACCUGAAGAAUAAGCACCGGCUAACUACGUGCCAGCAGCCGCGGUAAUACGUAGGGUGCAAGCGUUAAUCGGAAUUACUGGGCGUAAAGCGUGCGCAGGCGGUUUUGUAAGACUGUCGUGAAAUCCCCGGGCUCAACCUGGGAAUGGCGAUGGUGACUGCGAGGCUAGAGUUUGGCAGAGGGGGGUAGAAUUCCACGUGUAGCAGUGAAAUGCGUAGAUAUGUGGAGGAACACCGAUGGCGAAGGCAGCCCCCUGGGUCAAAACUGACGCUCAUGCACGAAAGCGUGGGGAGCAAACAGGAUUAGAUACCCUGGUAGUCCACGCCCUAAACGAUGUCUACUAGUUGUCGGGUUUUAAUUAACUUGGUAACGCAGCUAACGCGUGAAGU
This 819-nucleotide ribosomal RNA is filed under the name uncultured bacterium. Its description in RNAcentral is "bacterial SSU rRNA". It matches the Rfam family "Bacterial small subunit ribosomal RNA", at positions 56 to 865 of the family's 1533-position model. The record is from RNAcentral.